RNAcentral lists this transfer RNA (75 nucleotides) under Chloroflexota bacterium. RNAcentral's name for it is "Chloroflexi bacterium (rhizosphere metagenome) tRNA-Ile". It matches the Rfam family "tRNA". From Rfam's summary of the family: Transfer RNA (tRNA) molecules are approximately 80 nucleotides in length. Their secondary structure includes four short double-helical elements and three loops (D, anti-codon, and T loops). Lineage: Bacteria; Bacillati; Chloroflexota. The record is from RNAcentral.
GGGCGGGUAGCUCAGUUGGUUAGAGCGCCAUCAUGAUAAGAUGGAGGUCGGUGGUUCGAGUCCAGGUCCCGCCCA